AUAAUGGUACUUCCGUAACUCGCGGCCCGGUCACAAAGAAGACGGGGUGGCUGAGAUGCCAAUGA
RNAcentral lists this non-coding RNA (65 nucleotides) under uncultured Faecalibacterium sp. RNAcentral's name for it is "pemK RNA". It matches the Rfam family "pemK RNA". Lineage: Bacteria; Bacillati; Bacillota; Clostridia; Eubacteriales; Oscillospiraceae. The record is from RNAcentral.